AUAUCAUAAGCGGAGGAAAAGAAACUAACAAGGAUUCCCCUAGUAACUGCGAGUGAAGCGGGAAAAGCUCAAAUUUAAAAUCUGGCGGUCUCUGGCCGUCCGAGUUGUAGUCUAGAGAAUUGUUGCCCGCGCUGGACCGUGUACAAGUCUCCUGGAAUGGAGCGUCAUAGAGGGUGAGAAUCCCGUCUCUGACACGGACUACCAGGGCUUGUGGUACCUCGUCAA
This 225-nucleotide ribosomal RNA is filed under the name uncultured Agaricales. RNAcentral describes it as "partial large subunit ribosomal RNA". It matches the Rfam family "Eukaryotic large subunit ribosomal RNA", at positions 40 to 260 of the family's 3401-position model. The record is from RNAcentral. Lineage: Eukaryota; Fungi; Basidiomycota; Agaricomycetes; Agaricales.